This 73-nucleotide transfer RNA is filed under the name Trichonephila inaurata madagascariensis. It matches the Rfam family "tRNA". From Rfam's summary of the family: Transfer RNA (tRNA) molecules are approximately 80 nucleotides in length. Lineage: Eukaryota; Metazoa; Arthropoda; Arachnida; Araneae; Nephilidae. The record is from Rfam by way of RNAcentral.
GUCCUUGUAGCGCAAUGGAUAGCGCUUUGGAACUCUAAUCCAAAGGUCGUGGGUUCGAAUCCUAUCUGGGAUG